CUGAGUUACCGCUCUACAACCCUUUGUGAACAUACCUAACUGUUGCUUCGGCGGGCAGAGGUCCCUCGCGGAUCUCUCCCGGCAACGCCCUCACGGGCGGAGCGCCCGCCGGAGGAUACCAAACUCUAUUUUAACGACGUUUCUUCUGAGUGGCACAAGCAAAUAAUUA
Molecule: unclassified non-coding RNA, 169 nt
Filed under: uncultured Colletotrichum
Lineage: Eukaryota; Fungi; Ascomycota; Sordariomycetes; Glomerellales; Plectosphaerellaceae
Description: sequence contains ITS1
Source: RNAcentral